UCGGUCAUUGCGUCAACCGCAACAACAACCACAACAAACCAAACACAACAACAACCUACACGAUACAAUCAUCCAAGUACUGGUAACGUAACUCUUCAGACACAACUACUAUAUAUCCAUGGCGCGUACUGAAAGCAAUCCUCGUCGUCAAAGUGGUGGUGGCGGCGGCCGUAGACGAUCCGGCAGUGGAGGUGGAGGCGGUGGCGGCGGCCGAGGAGGUGGAGGUGGACGGAAGACCCCUGAGAAGACUGUGGCAGCC
RNAcentral lists this ribosomal RNA (259 nucleotides) under uncultured Nitzschia. RNAcentral's name for it is "partial Eukaryotic large subunit ribosomal RNA". The record is from RNAcentral. Lineage: Eukaryota; Bacillariophyta; Bacillariophyceae; Bacillariales; Bacillariaceae.